UGGCCACCUCACGUUGAAACACCGGUUACCGUAUGAUCAACGAAGUUAAGCAAUGUCGAUUCUGGUUAGCACCUAGAUGGGUGACCGCUUGGGAAUACCAAGUGCUGAAA
Molecule: non-coding RNA, 110 nt
Organism: Acanthosepion pharaonis
Lineage: Eukaryota; Metazoa; Mollusca; Cephalopoda; Sepiida; Sepiidae
Source: the annotation of a GenBank genome assembly